RNAcentral lists this ribosomal RNA (440 nucleotides) under uncultured bacterium. RNAcentral describes it as "bacterial SSU rRNA". It matches the Rfam family "Bacterial small subunit ribosomal RNA", at positions 1060 to 1500 of the family's 1533-position model. The record is from RNAcentral.
UCGUGUCGUGAGAUGUUGGGUUAAGUCCCGCAACGAGCGCANACCCUCGAUGCUAGUUACCAUCAUUAAGUUGGGGACUCUAGCGUGACUGCCGGUGAUAAGCCGGAGGAAGGUGAGGACGACGUCAAGUCAUCAUGCCCCUUACGUCUUGGGCUACACACGUCCUACAAUGGCAUAGACAAAGGGCUGCAAGCUAGCGAUAGUGAGCGAAUCCCAUAAACUAUGUCUCAGUUCGGAUUGCAGGCUGCAACUCGCCUGCAUGAAGUUGGAAUCGCUAGUAACCGUAGAUCAGCACGCUACGGUGAAUACGUUCCCGGGCCUUGUACACACCGCCCGUCACACCACGAAAGUUUGUCAUACCCGAAACCGGUGGGCUAACCGCAAGGAGGCAGCCGUCUAAGGUAGGGCCGAUGAUUGGGGUGAAGUCGUAACAAGGUAGC